RNAcentral lists this ribosomal RNA (468 nucleotides) under uncultured bacterium. RNAcentral's name for it is "partial 16S ribosomal RNA". The stretch from base 51 to 468 matches the Rfam family "Bacterial small subunit ribosomal RNA", at positions 37 to 507 of the family's 1533-position model. The record is from RNAcentral.
GGGGGGGGGGGGGGGGGGGGGGGGGGGGGGGGGGGCGAGCGGGGGGGGGGUGGUGGGGUGGGGGGCGCGAGUGGCGCACGGGUGGGUGCGCCGUGAGUGGCCUGCGCAGGGCUCGGGGAUGACUUCAGGCAACUGGUGCUACGCCCGGCUCGUGGCGCGUGCUGCAGGGUGGCGUGUGGAAAGUUUCGGCGGUUGGGGCUGGACGCGCGGCUGAUCCGCUUGUUGGUGGGGUCGUGGCUUGCCAAGGCUUUGCCGGGUAGCCGGCCUGAGAGGGUGACCGGCCACAUUGGGACUGAGAUACGGCCCAGACUCCUACGGGAGGCAGCAGUGGGGAAUAUUGCACAAUGGGCGGAAGCCUGAUGCAGCAACGCCGCGUGCGGGAUGACGGCCUUCGGGUUGUAAACCGCUUUCGCCUGUGACGAAGCGUGAGUGACGGUAAUGGGUAAAGAAGCACCGGCUAACUACGUG